UGCAGAUGAUGUUUUUUCUCACGAUGGUCUUCCAAGUCUCAGACUCUGACGACAAUGCCUUAUGGCAUCACUGAUGCAGUAGU
Molecule: small nucleolar RNA, 83 nt
Organism: Misgurnus anguillicaudatus (oriental weatherfish)
Lineage: Eukaryota; Metazoa; Chordata; Actinopteri; Cypriniformes; Cobitidae
Product: small nucleolar RNA SNORD35
Source: RefSeq, a predicted model, not a curated record